RNAcentral lists this ribosomal RNA (242 nucleotides) under uncultured bacterium. RNAcentral's name for it is "partial 16S ribosomal RNA". It matches the Rfam family "Bacterial small subunit ribosomal RNA", at positions 796 to 1041 of the family's 1533-position model. The record is from RNAcentral.
CACGCAGUAAACGAUGAAUACUAGCUGUAUGCGAUAUACUGUAUGUGGCAAAGCGAAAGCGUUAAGUAUUCCACCUGGGGAGUACGUUCGCAAGAAUGAAACUCAAAGGAAUUGACGGGGGCCCGCACAAGCGGAGGAACAUGUGGUUUAAUUCGAUGAUACGCGAGGAACCUUACCCGGGCUUGAAAUGCAGACGACCGACGGAGAAAUUCGUUUUCCAGCAAUGGCGUCUGUGUAGGUGC